UACGUAGGUGGCAAGCGUUGUCCGGAAUUAUUGGGCGUAAAGAGCGUGUAGGUGGGAUAUUAAGUCUGUCUUAAAAGUGCGGGGCUCAACCCCGUGAUGGGGCGGAAACUGGUAUUCUUGAGUGCAGGAGAGGAAAGCGGAAUUCCCAGUGUAGCGGUGAAAUGCGUAGAUAUUGGGAGGAACACCAGUGGCGAAGGCGGCUUUCUGGACUGUGUCUGACACUGAGGCGCGAAAGCCAGGGGAGC
This 245-nucleotide ribosomal RNA is filed under the name uncultured bacterium. RNAcentral describes it as "partial 16S ribosomal RNA". It matches the Rfam family "Bacterial small subunit ribosomal RNA", at positions 524 to 769 of the family's 1533-position model. The record is from RNAcentral.